AGAGUUUGAUCAUGGCUCAGGACGAACGCUGGCGGCGUGCUUAACACAUGCAAGUCGAACGGAAAGGCCCCUUCGGGGGUACUCGAGUGGCGAACGGGUGAGUAACACGUGGGUGACCUGCCCUGCACUCUGGGAUAAGCCUGGGAAACUGGGUCUAAUACCGGAUAUUCCCUUCUGGCCGCAUGGUUGGUUGGGGAAAGCGUUAUGUAGCGGUGUGGGAUGGGCCCGCGGCCUAUCAGCUUGUUGGUGGGGUGAUGGCCUACCAAGGCGACGACGGGUAGCCGGCCUGAGAGGGUGACCGGCCACACUGGGACUGAGAUACGGCUCAGACUCCUACGGGAGGCAGCAGUGGGGAAUAUUGCACAAUGGGCGCAAGCCUGAUGCAGCGACGCCGCGUGAGGGAUGACGGCCUUCGGGUUGUAAACCUCUUUCAGCGCCGACGAAGCGUAAGUGACGGUAGGCGUAGAAGAAGCACCGGCCAACUACGUGCCAGCAGCCGCGGUAAUACGUAGGGUGCGAGCGUUGUCCGGAAUUACUGGGCGUAAAGAGCUCGUAGGUGGUUUGUCGCGUUGUCCGUGAAAUCCCACGGCUUAACUGUGGGCGUGCGGGCGAUACGGGCAGACUAGAGUGCUGCAGGGGAGACUGGAAUUCCUGGUGUAGCGGUGGAAUGCGC
Molecule: ribosomal RNA, 673 nt
Filed under: uncultured bacterium
Lineage: Bacteria
Description: bacterial SSU rRNA
Rfam family: Bacterial small subunit ribosomal RNA
Source: RNAcentral